Molecule: ribosomal RNA, 567 nt
Filed under: uncultured archaeon
Lineage: Archaea
Description: bacterial SSU rRNA
Rfam family: Archaeal small subunit ribosomal RNA
Source: RNAcentral
GCGAAUUCGCCCUUCGGGGUGCAGCAGGCGCGAAAACUUUACAAUGCCGGCAACGGCGAUAAGGGAACCUCGAGUGCCAGGUUACAAAUCUGGCUGUCGUGAUGCCUAAAAAGCAUUGCAUAGCAAGGGCCGGGCAAGACCGGUGCCAGCCGCCGCGGUAACACCGGCGGCUCGAGUGGUAACCGUUAUUAUUGGGUCUAAAGGGUCUGUAGCCGGCCGGGUAAGUCUCUUGGGAAAUCUGGCAGCUUAACUGUCAGGCUUUCAGGAGAUACUGCCUGGCUCGAGGCCGGGAGAGGUGAGAGGUACUUCAGGGGUAGGGGUGAAAUCUUGUAAUCCUUGAAGGACCACCAGUGGCGAAGGCGUCUCACCAGAACGGACCUGACGGCAAGGGACGAAAGCUAGGGGCACGAACCGGAUUAGAUACCCGGGUAGUCCUAGCCGUAAACGAUACUCGCUAGGUGUCGGCCACGGUGCGACCGUGGUCGGUGCCGUAGGGAAGCCGUGAAGCGAGCCACCUGGGAAGUACGGCCGCAAGGCUGAAACUUAAAGGAAUUGGCGGGGGAGCAC